GCCUACGGGGGGCAGCAGUAGGGAAUCUUCCACAAUGGGCGAAAGCCUGAUGGAGCAACGCCGCGUGGGUGAAGAAGGUCUUCGGAUCGUAAAACCCUGUUGUUAGAGAAGAAAGUGCGUGAGAGUAACUGUUCACGUUUCGACGGUAUCUAACCAGAAAGCCACGGCUAACUACGUGCCAGCAGCCGCGGUAAUACGUAGGUGGCAAGCGUUAUCCGGAUUUAUUGGGCGUAAAGGGAACGCAGGCGGUCUUUUAAGUCUGAUGUGAACGCCUUCGGCUUAACCGGAGUAGUGCAUUGGAAACU
Molecule: ribosomal RNA, 305 nt
Filed under: uncultured bacterium
Lineage: Bacteria
Description: bacterial SSU rRNA
Rfam family: Bacterial small subunit ribosomal RNA
Source: RNAcentral